GACGAACGCUGGCGGCGUGCUUAACACAUGCCAGUCGAACGGAAAGGCCCUGCUUUUGUGGGGUGCUCGAGUGGCGAACGGGUGAGUAACACGUGAGUAACCUGCCCUUGACUUUGGGAUAACUUCAGGAAACUGGGGCUAAUACCGGAUAGGAGCUCCUGCUGCAUGGUGGGGGUUAGAAAGUUUCGGCGGUUGGGGAUGGACUCGCGGCUUAUCAGCUUGUUGGUGGGGUAGUGGCUUACCAAGGCUUUGACGGGUAGCCGGCCUGAGAGGGUGACCGGCCACAUUGGGACUGAGAUACGGCCCAGACUCCUACGGGAGGCAGCAGUGGGGAAUAUUGCACAAUGGGCGGAAGCCUGAUGCAGCAACGCCGCGUGCGGGAUGACGGCCUUCGGGUUGUAAACCGCUUUCGCCUGUGACGAAGCGUGAGUGACGGCAAUGGGUAAAGAAGCACCGGCUAACUACGUG
RNAcentral lists this ribosomal RNA (468 nucleotides) under uncultured bacterium. Its description in RNAcentral is "partial 16S ribosomal RNA". It matches the Rfam family "Bacterial small subunit ribosomal RNA", at positions 28 to 507 of the family's 1533-position model. The record is from RNAcentral.